GCGCAGCAGUCGCGAAACCUUUGCAAUACACGCAAGCGUGACAGGGUCAUCCCGAGUGCCGACCGCUGAGGAUGGCUUUUACCCAGUCUAGAAAGCUGGGGGAAUAAGGAGAGGGCAAGUCUGGUGUCAGCCGCCGCGGUAAUACCAGCUCUCCGAGUGGUGUGGACGUUUAUUGGGCCUAAAGCAUCCGUAGCUGGCUGAACAAGUCCUCUGUUAAACCCACCGAUUUAAUCGUUGGCUUGCGGGGGAUACUGCUCGGCUAGGGGACGAGAGAGGCAGACGGUAUUCCCGGGGUAGGGGUGAAAUCCUAUAAUCCCGAGAAGACCACCAGUGGCGAAGGCUGUCGGCUAGAACGCGCCCGACAGUGAGGGAUGAAAGCUGGGGGAGCGAACCGGAUUAGAUACCCGCGUAGUCC
This 415-nucleotide ribosomal RNA is filed under the name uncultured crenarchaeote. RNAcentral describes it as "partial 16S ribosomal RNA". It matches the Rfam family "Archaeal small subunit ribosomal RNA", at positions 330 to 747 of the family's 1478-position model. The record is from RNAcentral. Lineage: Archaea; Thermoproteati; Thermoproteota.